UCCAAAUUGUAUGAGUACACCCCAGCUAUGACAUGGCUGGGACUGUCGCUAUGAGUAUGUGUUUUUGUUUCUUUCUCAUCCUGAAUGUGUGUGGCUGGCUGUUGUGGUUUGGCUUUGCUGUCGCUCUGUUUUUCCCCCUCUCUCUCUUGCUGCUCCCUCUGUUUCUUGCCGGCAUGUUGCAGCAGUGGGCAGUACCUGUGGUGGUUCCUGGGGCUGGUUUCCACACCUCCUGAUUGGCACACCUGAAUCUCAUCAUGCCGAUCACCACCGCUUUAUAAGCCUUGUGUUCUCUUCAGUUCGGAUUGCCUGGAAGAACUCUGUUCUGAAUCGCCUUCACCUGCCUGCCACGCUGGAGUCUCAGUUGGAGCCGACUCACUGCACGCCUGCCUGCCUGAUAUCCGAAACUCACCACACCGACCAGCCACAAAGGAUUUUCCCCUGCUCUGCCCAUUCUGAAGUUACUGUAGUUCAAUAAACUGUUUAAACUUAC
This is a long non-coding RNA of Micropterus dolomieu (smallmouth bass), 490 nucleotides long. RefSeq lists it as uncharacterized. The record is from RefSeq and is a predicted model, not a curated record. The transcript has 2 exons. NCBI's taxonomy places the organism in Eukaryota, Metazoa, Chordata, Actinopteri, Centrarchiformes, Centrarchidae.